Molecule: ribosomal RNA, 90 nt
Filed under: Aeromonas hydrophila
Lineage: Bacteria; Pseudomonadati; Pseudomonadota; Gammaproteobacteria; Aeromonadales; Aeromonadaceae
Also listed under: 5 other names
Description: partial 23S ribosomal RNA
Rfam family: Bacterial large subunit ribosomal RNA
Source: RNAcentral
CGUUGGAGACCACAACGUUGAUAGGUGGGGUGUGUAAGCGCGGCGACGUGUUGAGCUAACCCAUACUAAUUACCCGUGAGGCUUAACCAU